AGGACUCACCGGCUGUCGUUUGGGCUGCGGCCGUGUCCGUGACAGGGACGUUCUUGCCCAGCGCAGCUCCAUUUCCCGCGGUGAAAGCCUGCACCCUGGAGAAGAUAACAAGCCGCGUGACCUGGCAGUGUUACCUCCAAAGGGGAAAAACCUGGCCCACCACACACACCCCUUGCCCAGCUGCGGUGGGGCCGAAGCAAGGUAACAGGUUUAUGGCUCAACUCCUACAAGGAAAAUGAGUGAAAAGAAGGCUUUUCUCCCUUCACGGGCGGACCACGCAGAACAGCAGUGCCCCGUUACGUCGCAUCACGCCUGCCCCGAGCGUGGGAUCACCCUGCCUUCCCCCUCCCUGGCUGCGUGCUCAGCUGGACCUGCAAAGGGAGAUAGCUAGUGUCUCCUGUGUCCAGAAAGCAGCUUCCUACGAGGGGAGGUCGCACACGUCAAUGAGGUCUCCUCUGAUUCAUCCUCCUUGCUGCUGCCUUCCCCGAGCACACUGCUUUGCCAGGAGCCUCUGCCCACGAAGAAUGAAAAUCCUCAGAGUGUGGGCAUCCCUGCCACGCCUCCCUCCCAGGCUGUGCUAGGCCCACUGAGCUGCUUUCGGUGGGAGAACCACUUCCAUCCCAGCUCUCCCGGUGGCCCACACGUAACACUGCUUUUCAUUCCAAGUGAACACAUUUCCCAACCCUGUCCUCUAAGAUAACAUAUAUUCCAAAUUCAAAAGCCUAGCGUUACACAAUUUGGCCCCAGUCAUCCGUCCUAGAAACUUAGCACAUUUCCUCAUACUCUUUUGUGCCAUACCCUUAGCCCUUUGCACUGUUCCUAGCACAAACUGGGUGUUUGAAACGCGUUAGACUAAUAUUGACACAAUCCUAUGAGUUAAAGUUGUCUUUUAAAAAAAGAUAACCACGCCAGAAAAAUAAAGUUCUCUUUAAACAUACACACACAUGCAAUGUUUGAAUCUGAGCCAAAAGUGUUUUGAGAUUUAGAUAUUUUAGACAAAUAUCCAGUAGCACCAGAUAAUGUUUGUAUGUUAGCUUGGAGCAUUUGCUUAUACGUUUAUU
Manis pentadactyla (Chinese pangolin) is the source of this 1061-nucleotide long non-coding RNA. RefSeq lists it as uncharacterized. The transcript is spliced from 3 exons. The record is from RefSeq and is a predicted model, not a curated record. Lineage: Eukaryota; Metazoa; Chordata; Mammalia; Pholidota; Manidae.